Molecule: ribosomal RNA, 253 nt
Filed under: uncultured bacterium
Lineage: Bacteria
Description: partial 16S ribosomal RNA
Rfam family: Bacterial small subunit ribosomal RNA
Source: RNAcentral
UACGGAGGGUGCAAGCGUUGUCCGGAUUUAUUGGGUUUAAAGGGUGCGUAGGCGGCUAAUUAAGUCAGUGGUGAAAGCCUGUAGCUCACCUAUAGAACUGCCAUUGAUACUGGUUAGCUUGAGUACGGUAGAGGUAAGCGGAAUGGAUGGUGUAGCGGUGAAAUGCAUAGAUAUGAGACAGAACACCGAUUGCGAAGGCAGCUCACUAAACUGUAACUGACGCUGAGGCACGAAAGCGUGGGGAGCGAACAGG